UACGGAGGUGGCAAGCGUUGUUCGGAAUUACUGGGCGUAAAGGGCGCGUAGGCGGCGAGGCAGGUCGGAUGUGAGAUCCCCGGGCUUAACCUGGGAAUUGCAUCCGAAACUGCUUUGCUUGAGUCCUGGAUGGGGUAGUGGAAUUCCCAGUGUAGCGGUGAAAUGCGUAGAUAUUGGGAGGAACACCGGUGGCGAAGGCGGCUACCUGGACAGUGACUGACGCCGAUGCGCGAAAGCUAGGGGAG
RNAcentral lists this ribosomal RNA (245 nucleotides) under uncultured bacterium. Its description in RNAcentral is "partial 16S ribosomal RNA". It matches the Rfam family "Bacterial small subunit ribosomal RNA", at positions 524 to 768 of the family's 1533-position model. The record is from RNAcentral.